Molecule: ribosomal RNA, 207 nt
Filed under: uncultured bacterium
Lineage: Bacteria
Description: partial 16S ribosomal RNA
Rfam family: Bacterial small subunit ribosomal RNA
Source: RNAcentral
GACGCAGGCUGCUUACUAAGUCGGGCGUGAAAGCCCCGGGCUCAACCUGGGAAUUGCGUUCGAUACUGGUAGGCUUGAGAUCGGGAGAGGGAAGCGGAAUUCCUGGUGUAGAGGUGAUAUUCGUUGAUAUCAGGAGGAACACCGGCGGCGAAGGCGGCUUCCUGGCCCGAUACUGACGCUCAUGUCCGAAAGCGUGGGGAGCAAACA